GUUGAGGGAACAGCUCCAACACCAUGUAUCCAUUCUCUGCCUAAUAACAGAUUGUAAUUAGGUUUGGCAGCUAUGACCAUAAACAAGGUCUUUCGAACUGUACUACCAACACAAACUUCCAAUUGCACUGCCCCCAGGGAAUGGCCAGUUUUUCCCUCAUAGUUGGCCAACACCACAUUGUGGGAAUGAAGGUCUGUGUCAUAGAGACCUAAUUUCUUCAACAUGAAGUGAGGCAUGAUAUUCACCACAGCUCCUCCAUCCACUAAGACUUUAUUGAUUCCCACAUNNNAAAGCUUUCAAGUGGUUCUGCAUUCCCAGAUCUGGCUUUUCGAAGACAGCUUUUUGCUCUUCGACACAACCAUUUUGCAUAACAUAGUAACACAUUGGCUUAUGA
Molecule: long non-coding RNA, 394 nt
Filed under: Trifolium pratense (red clover)
Lineage: Eukaryota; Viridiplantae; Streptophyta; Magnoliopsida; Fabales; Fabaceae
Description: long non-coding RNA (TPRA_LNC006861)
Source: RNAcentral